Molecule: long non-coding RNA, 1067 nt
Organism: Astatotilapia calliptera (eastern happy)
Lineage: Eukaryota; Metazoa; Chordata; Actinopteri; Cichliformes; Cichlidae
Source: Ensembl
GCAGUUAGUGUGCAGUUAGUGUGUAGUUAGUGUGCAGUUAGUGUGUAGUUAGUGUGCAGUUAUUGUGUAGUUAGUGUGUAGUUAGUGUGUAGUUAGUGUGUAGUUAGUGUGUAGUUAGUGUGUAGUUAGUGUGUAGUUAGUGUGCAGUUAGUGUGCAGUUAGUGUGUAGUUAGUGUGUAGUUAGUGUGCAGUUAGUGUGCAGUUAGUGUGCAGUUAGUGUGUAGUUAGUGUGCAGUUAGUGUGCAGUUAGUGUGUAGUUAGUGUGCAGUUAGUGUGUAGUUAGUGUGCAGUUAGUGUGCAGUUAGUGUGCAGUUAGUGUGUAGUUAGUGUGUAGUUAGUGUGUAGUUAGUGUGUAGUUAGUGUGUAGUUAGUGUGUAGUUAGUGUGUAGUUAGUGUGCAGUUAGUGUGCAGUUAGUGUGUAGUUAGUGUGUAGUUAGUGUGUAGUUAGUGUGUAGUUAGUGUGUAGUUAGUGUGUAGUUAGUGUGUAGUUAGUGUGUAGUUAGUGUGUAGUUAGUGUGUAGUUAGUGUGUAGUUAGUGUGCAGUUAGUGUGCAGUUAGUGUGUAGUUAGUGUGUAGUUAGUGUGUAGUCAGUGUGUAGUUAGUGUGUAGUUAGUGUGUAGUUAGUGUGCAGUUAGUGUGUAGUUAGUGUGUAGUCAGUGUGUAGUUAGUGUGUAGUUAGUGUGUAGUUAGUGUGUAGUCAGUGUGUAGUUAGUGUGUAGUUAGUGUGUAGUUAGUGUGCAGUUAGUGUGUAGUUAGUGUGUAGUCAGUGUGUAGUCAGUGUGUAGUCAGUGUGUAGUUAGUGUGUAGUGAGUGUGUAGUGUAGUCAAUAGUGUUGUGUGUCAGAACAACGAGGCGCCUGCUGAGUGUUACAGGUGUUACAGCAGUGACACAUCUGCUGCUGUCAGGCCUGCAGGUAUCAGGCUGUUGUUCUCCUUCAUCUCAUAGUGGACACAAAUUAUUUUUUGUGACACAAAUAAUUUGUGUGGCAUCAGAUUUGAUGCAGAACAGCUGAUUGUUCUGUAAAUAGUUUGAAAUGUUUGUUUAAAAACGCCUUGGCUGCAUUUUCA